GAUGAACGCUAGCUACAGGCUUAACACAUGCAAGUCGAACGGAGUGGCGAACGGGUGAGUAAUGUAUCGGAACGUGCCCAGUAGCGGGGGAUAACUACGCGAAAGCGUAGCUAAUACCGCAUACUAUUGGAGCGGCCGGUAUCGGAUUAGCUAGUUGGUGGGGUAACGGCUCACCCAGGCCACGAUCCGUAGCGGGUUUGAGAGGACGACCAGCCACACUGGGACUGAGACACGGCCCAGACUCCUACGGGAGGCAGCAGUGAGGAAUAAUGGUCAAUGGACGGAAGUCUGAACCAGCCAAGUAGCGUGCAGGAGGACGGCCUAUGGGUUGUAAACUGCUUUUGUAUGGGGAUAGGUACCAUACGAAUAAGGACCGGCUAAUUCCGUGCCAGCAGCCGCGGUAAUUC
This 407-nucleotide ribosomal RNA is filed under the name uncultured bacterium. RNAcentral describes it as "partial 16S ribosomal RNA". It matches the Rfam family "Bacterial small subunit ribosomal RNA", at positions 28 to 526 of the family's 1533-position model. The record is from RNAcentral.